UCCCGCGUAGCUCAGUGGUAGAGCGGAUCGCUGUUAACGAUUAGGUCACUGGUUCGAGCCCAGUCGCGGGAGCCA
This 75-nucleotide transfer RNA is filed under the name Candidatus Saccharimonadota bacterium. RNAcentral describes it as "tRNA-Asn". It matches the Rfam family "tRNA". From Rfam's summary of the family: Transfer RNA (tRNA) molecules are approximately 80 nucleotides in length. Their secondary structure includes four short double-helical elements and three loops (D, anti-codon, and T loops). Further hydrogen bonds mediate the characteristic L-shaped molecular structure. tRNAs have two regions of fundamental functional importance: the anti-codon, which is responsible for specific mRNA codon recognition, and the 3' end, to which the tRNAs corresponding amino acid is attached (by aminoacyl-tRNA synthetases). tRNAs cope with the degeneracy of the genetic code in two manners: having more than one tRNA (with a specific anti-codon) for a particular amino acid; and 'wobble' base-pairing, i.e. permitting non-standard base-pairing at the 3rd anti-codon position. The record is from RNAcentral. Lineage: Bacteria; Candidatus Saccharimonadota.